RNAcentral lists this small RNA (247 nucleotides) under Arabidopsis thaliana (thale cress). RNAcentral describes it as "ATSL217650". Lineage: Eukaryota; Viridiplantae; Streptophyta; Magnoliopsida; Brassicales; Brassicaceae. The record is from RNAcentral.
AAUACAAUGGAUAAGCAUUUAAAUUAUGGAUUAAGCGUUCAAAAAUAAAAGGAGUUACAACAAAUCAUAUAUAUGAAAGUUGGUCAACUCUCUCCAUAUGAGUGAUACAUCAUCACACCAAUGAGUGCUACAUGUCAUUCUAAAUUAAUAUCAUUAAAAAUAAUAAAACUUAGUGAUAAAAAAAUAAAAGUUUUACAUUGCAUUGAAUCAUCCAUUAAUCCCACUCUUAACUAAAUAUCUUCAUCUA